GACGAACGCUGGCGGCGUGCUUAACACAUGCAAGUCGAACGGAAAGGCCCUGCUUUUGUGGGGUGCUCGAGUGGCGAACGGGUGAGUAACACGUGAGUAACCUGCCCUUGACUUUGGGAUAACUUCAGGAAACUGGGGCUAAUACCGGAUAGGAGCUCCUGCUGCAUGGUGGGGGUUGGAAAGUUUCGGCGGUUGGGGAUGGACUCGCGGCUUAUCAGCUUGUUGGUGGGGUAGUGGCUUACCAAGGCUUUGACGGGUAGCCGGCCUGAGAGGGUGACCGGCACCAUGGGAACGAGGUAACGGCCAGGACUCCAACGGAGGGAGGCGGGGGGAAUAUUGGCAAAUGGGCGGAAGGCCGGAGCAGGAAACGCGCGGGGGGGAUGGCGGGCUUCGGGGUGUAAACCGGUUUCGGCUGGGACGAAGGGGGAGGGACGGGUAUGGGGAAAGAAACAACCGGCAAACUAGGUG
RNAcentral lists this ribosomal RNA (468 nucleotides) under uncultured bacterium. RNAcentral describes it as "partial 16S ribosomal RNA". It matches the Rfam family "Bacterial small subunit ribosomal RNA", at positions 28 to 507 of the family's 1533-position model. The record is from RNAcentral.